RNAcentral lists this ribosomal RNA (348 nucleotides) under uncultured bacterium. Its description in RNAcentral is "partial 16S ribosomal RNA". It matches the Rfam family "Bacterial small subunit ribosomal RNA", at positions 338 to 683 of the family's 1533-position model. The record is from RNAcentral.
CCUACGGGAGGCAGCAGUGAGGAAUAUUGGUCAAUGGGCUUACGCCUGAACCAGCCAAGUCGCGUGAGGGAAGACUGCCCUAUGGGUUGUAAACCUCUUUUGUCAGGGAGCAAGGGGCGCUACGUGUAGCGUUAUCGAGAGUACCUGAAGAAAAAGCAGCGGCCAACUCCGGGCCAGCAGCCGCGGUAAUACGGAGGAUGCGAGCGUUAUCCGGAUUUAUUGGGUUUAAAGGGUGCGUAGGCGGAAUGCCAAGUCCGCGGUAAAAUCGCGGGGCUCACCCUCGCUCCGCCGUUGAAACUGGCGUUCUUUAGUGGGCGAGAAGUAUGCGGACUGCGUGGUGUAGCGGUG